Molecule: long non-coding RNA, 549 nt
Organism: Mauremys mutica (yellowpond turtle)
Lineage: Eukaryota; Metazoa; Chordata; Testudines; Geoemydidae
Exons: 3
Source: RefSeq, a predicted model, not a curated record
UAUUACCAGAGAACAGAGGCGUACAAGCAUUAUCAGACACCAGGAGGAAGGUCCUGUGUAAACAGACAUAGAAGUCACCGUAGAUGUGCCCGAUAUCUCGAUGCACGUGUCUGCAGCAUGUGAAACAGAAGUCAAAAUCUCACCAUGCUGUUAAGCUGCAAUAAGAAGAGGAUGGAGAAAACCAGACAACACUGAAGUCCAUGGCAACAAUUCUGUAGACUUUAAAAGGGCCAAAACAAGGUGCAAAUGUUUCAACAUGGCCCUUAUCUACUCCAUCCAAGAGGCUGGUCCAGAUUAGAAGGUGGAAAAAACUAACUCGGGAUGACAUGUUUGCCGAGCUCAUGCAGUCCUCCCGCACUGAUAGGGCCCAGCUGAAUGCAUGGAGGCAAACAAUUGUGGAGUCCUGUAAAGCAUUACAGAAACACGAAGUGAGGAGGGAGGCGCGCAAUGAGAGCAGGCAGGACGCUAUAGUCAAGCUCAUGGGGGAGCAAAUUGACAUGCUCCACUAUAUGGUGGAUCUAAUGCGGGAAAGGCAGCAAGACCACAGAC